This 985-nucleotide long non-coding RNA is filed under the name Fukomys damarensis (Damara mole-rat). RNAcentral's name for it is "lncRNA (ENSFDAG00000022167.1)". The record is from RNAcentral. Lineage: Eukaryota; Metazoa; Chordata; Mammalia; Rodentia; Bathyergidae.
GCGGCGGUGGUACAGUCCGAGACGUCCCCGGCUAUAAAUAGCGCCAGGCGCAUGGCUCUUCGGGAGGUGCUGAGAUUCCGGGGCCCGGCGGCCGUGGGCAGCGGGUGCCCGUUAGGAAGCGGGCAGUCGGCCUCCUCUCGUUGCCCUUUGGGGGUUCUUUUUGUAAUAGCAGCAGGAGGGAGAGAGCCCUCUUUGUGCUCAGUUUCCCUUCCCGUGAGCAAGCUGUCAUUCUUCCUGGCACCUGCUGACCCACAUUCUACAGCCUUGGCUGUGGGGACAUAUCCUCAGACCUGCUCCAGCUCUCCUGGUUGUGGAUUCUCUCUCUCCAUCUCUAUGGUGAACUCCCGGAAAGCAGGCAACCAGUGACCCGGUCCCUCCUGUUCCUCUGCAAUCCCUCUCACAGCGAUGGGCACACAGUUGGUGCUCAGGGUGAAGUUUAUAGAUAACAGUGGCUAAUCUGACUAAGGCAGGGAAUCAACACUGUUUUCAGUCAUCCGUGUUUCACUCUCUGGAAAGGAGUUCAAGGCUGUGGAGGAGAACAGGCAGUUCAGAACACCUGCAGCCACCCAGCCUCCCCAGUCCACGCUUCGUGGCUCGGAGGCAUCACUACUCAGUUGUUCUUGCAUUCAUCCAGCCCUUCUCAUCCUGCACUGGAGUCAGUGGAGCAAGACCUGCAGAAAAUUCAUUGUCUUGAUGGAGAGACCAAAGUCACGCUAAGUGAGAAGCCUCAGAACGGCGAUGGCAACAGAUGGGUAAAUGUCUUCCAGGCCUGAGGAGCCUCACAUAGGAGAAAAUAGAAAACAGAAAACUCUCUGAAGCUGGGUGGCUGAUCUGUAAGGUGGGUAGUAGCUUUGGAGAUGGAGCGGCAUUUGUAAGGUGAAUGCAGAUGGUGCUAGGAGUUUAGAGGUAAGACCUAGACCUGGGCUAGGAGGGAAAUAGGCAGUGGGUUCUCCACGGUUACCUGGAGACCAAGCUAAAAGACAGG